UUUGAAUCUGAUUCAAGCUCUCUAAGUGGAAGUAUAUGCUUCCUACCUGAGAGAGAAUCGGGUUCAAAUCUUGCGGGGACCUUCUCAUGUUCAAUAGGUGUUAAAGUGUGCAAGAUGCGGGUUUUAGGAGGUACGGAUGGAUAUUAGAAGUUGGCAUAAUCAAGAUGAGAGGGAAUCAAGUGAAAUGAAGUAAAAAAGAGCAAAAGAUCACUCAGCACCGUAACCUACGGCCACUGCCGUAGGCUACGGCACCUUGACCUUUGCCAAAAUUGUUCACCGUAAGACAGGAAGCAUGUGCCGUAAAAGAACAUUGACUGCCGUAAGCUACGGUGCCUGGCGUAGCUUACGGCAAUAUGCUGAAGGCUUGGGACUUGCUGACUGCCGUAAGCUACGGCUGGAGCCGUAGCUUACGGCUCCGACUGAUCCAAACUUGUAACAUCCGCAUUUAUUGGCCAUUUUAUGGAGAUUUAUGAUGCCCAAUCAUGCAAUUUCGGUUACUACUUGGAGGGAACGAGUUGGAGGGUAUAUGAGAAGCAUUUGGGAGUGAAGAAACAUAUCUUGGAACUAUCUUUUCACUAAAUUCUUGUCUAGUUUUUGUUGGUGAACAAUAUCUUCCAUUUCUUGCAUUAUGUUAGUUAAAGCCAUGAGUGGCUAGAUAUUUGGGUGAUUAUCUUGUGUUGAAGGUUUGAGUAAGACUAUGUGUUUUCAUUUCAUAUUUCUAGAAUAACAAUUGCUUUUUAUU
RNAcentral lists this long non-coding RNA (742 nucleotides) under Helianthus annuus (common sunflower). Its description in RNAcentral is "hypothetical non coding rna". The record is from RNAcentral. Lineage: Eukaryota; Viridiplantae; Streptophyta; Magnoliopsida; Asterales; Asteraceae.